GAAAUGCGAUAAGUAAUGUGAAUUGCAGAAUUCCGUGAAUCAUCGAAUCUUUGAACGCACAUUGCGCCCUCUGGUAUUCCGGGGGGCAUGCCUGUCCGAGCGUCAUUGCAACCCCUCAAGCACGGCUUGUGUGAUGGGCCCUCCCGCGUCUUGGUCGUCAAGACGGGCCCGAAAUGCAGUGGCGGCUUCGCGGUUAUCCGAUCAGCCAGAGCGUAUGGGGACUCUCUCUCUUGUCACACGCCCGCGGCGCGGACCGACGCCUGUCGUCCUUUAUUCAUCUUCUCUCGGUUGACCUCGGAUCAGGUAGGGAUACCCGCUGAACUUAAGC
Molecule: unclassified non-coding RNA, 328 nt
Filed under: plant metagenome
Description: partial contains 5.8S ribosomal RNA, internal transcribed spacer 2, and large subunit ribosomal RNA
Rfam family: 5.8S ribosomal RNA (bases 1-105)
Source: RNAcentral